GUCUAUGGCCAUACCACCCUGAACACACCUGAUCUCGUCUGACCUCGAAAGCUAAGCAGGAUUGGGCCUGGGUUAGUAAUUGGAUGGGAGACCCCUGGUGACUUGAGAAGAGGGACC
RNAcentral lists this ribosomal RNA (117 nucleotides) under Carlito syrichta (Philippine tarsier). The record is from RNAcentral. Lineage: Eukaryota; Metazoa; Chordata; Mammalia; Primates; Tarsiidae.